AGGUAGAAAUGCAUAUAAUUACAUAGAAAUGGCUGCUUUAUCAUAUCAAACUAAUAUUUAUAUUUAGUUGGGUUUUUCUAAGUAAGUACUUGUAAAACAAGUUAAUAAGUGCUAAAAAUGAAUUGGAAAAUUAAGGCUCUUUUUGCACUCGGCAUGCGCUUCCAGGUUCUAGAUUGGAACUCCCAUGCAGAUGUUACGUAUGGACCCUUGCUCAUGGGGUGUUUCUCCUCGUCGCUACUCUCGGAGUCAUUGUCCUUAUUCUUUACUGAGUCCAAAGUUUUCUUUGGCAGAGUUUCACUACAAGAAAAAAGGAGAACAGCGACUAUCAAAUAGCAACGGUUCUAGGCAAACUGCUGCCGCUUCCACCUUUACCAGCUGUUUCAAACUGCCGCAGUCAUCAGUGUAUUACCGGCCGUUCAAACCGCCACUCUUUCUAAAGCGACGGUCAAAUAGCCGCUGUUAUCAAGAAGAAGCACUCUUUCUCCAUAGUUCAAAGACGUCGUAGUUCCGAAUCUUCUAAUCCACAGUUGUUGUGCCUCUCGUCGCCACCGUAGCUGUUCUUCAACAGGUACUCUCCUCUUUCGAUCUAUCAGAACGGACCAGGUUAUCAUCUCCGAUUACUCUCUUGUUAAUUUGUUGUUAACUUGAUUAUGCUGAUUUUGAAUGAUGAUAAUUUGUUAAUUUCUUGGAUUCUUCACAGUUUGAUUUUAGGGUUUUUGAGUUUAUUGGUUUAAUUUCUUGGAUUCUUUUACAGUUUAAUUAUCAGGGUUUUGAUAUUUUGUUAAUUCUCUUGGAUUUCAUAUCUUUGAAUUAAAGCCUCAAAUGAAAAAUUAAACCUUUCAAAACCUUCCCAAACUCUAUCACUCAGAAUCUGGAUUUGGUUACAUACCAAUUUAUUAGUUUGAUUUGUUAUGUUUGUGGAUUGUUGUUUAUUUUUGAAAUUUUCUAUAAGCAUUUGGCAUAAACAGUUGCUAGACUAUUUGGGACAUGUUUAAAAGGGUUUUAAUAUAUGGUUUUAGUCUAAUAGUAGAUCUCUUAAACUGAUAUUUUUUCUGAUAUAGUUAUCACUUUGUAAUUACAUUAAUAUAUGGCCUGGUGCUAUUAUUCAUCAUUGAAUUCAUCUAUGAUUGGGCUAAACAAGAAGCAAUUGCAAACAUCACUUUAAACUAAGCAAGGGAUGGCUGUACAUAUAUUUCAUUCCCCUUUUCCUAACAUUGGAAAAUACAUACUCUUAGUAAUUAGGAAGGGAUGGCUGUACAUAUAGAUUCGUUAAUAUUGAAUCAAUUGAAAUAAGUGGUAUAGAUACUUUCGAGACCCUUCUCUAUUCCCCCUAACAGUGUGUGUUGGUGUGUGAGGGAUAUUUAUAUCAUGUCAAACUAAGGUCAAUUAGGAUUUAGUCAUGCGAAUAACAAAAUCACUAGUUCUUUUUUUUUGUCCGGAUAUAGUAAUCAACAGAUUCCAAUAUAAUAAUCCUUACCUCUUUGAAAGGACUUGAUCACAAACAGGGCAUGCUCCAUCAUUGCUUAACAUUUCAUUGGCAUCUUUAGUGCAUGUUAACUAUGUUAAGGAAACCAUAACUAUGUGAAUAACUACCUGAAUAACAUAACAAAUAGGAGUAGCUACCUAAUUUGAUAUGAACUAUACUGAUUUUAUUUUGAAGUUAAGGAACUCAAGGGCAAAAUUGAGAAAAAUGCAUCUGAGUUUAGGCUAAUAUUUCUGUGGGAAGAAAUUAAAUUGUCCACUUAAUGAUAAGUUGGAUCUAUAAUUUGAGUAGUCAUUACAACCAAGUCAUUACAGCUCCUCCAUCAACUGAUGGGCCUACACCAGCUACUAACCAACCUAUAUCACCUCCAAGUAAUGAACCUGAAAACAACGAUGAAUCUCAAUUUGCAGUCAACAAUCCAUCAAACAAGCCAAAGAAAAAGUCCAUGACAUAUUGGACGAUUGAUGUAAGAGAACCACCAUUUGAGUUCUACGCCAUGGAGGUAGCUUCAGAAGCCAUUUAUAGUUGCACGCACAACUGAAUUGGAGACGGAUGCUUAUAUUGCAUUAGAUGAACUUACUUCCAAGUUCAGAUAUCUUACGAGUUAUGAGUUAUGAGUUAUUCUUCACAUAAUUGAGGCUCUUGCAGAUAACAGCAGCCUGGAGGAGCUUAACCUUGCUGAUAAUUCUGUUCCGACUGAACUUUCUGCUCUACAAUGUGAUUUACCAUCUAAAAGCUGCUCACAGAACCAGGAAGAUAAACUUGAUACUAUGAAAGUGGAUGAUAAUCAAGAGGCAUUUUGCUCUCUAAAUACUUUGGACGAACAACUGGAAGUUGCGUGUUAUGGUCAUGCAAUUAGUUUUGAAAUUUCAAUUAGUCUUGUGAAGUUUUUGAUCUGACAUGCUAUUUCUUAUGAAAUAUGUUAUUGCUAGGUUACUUAUGCAUAUUCAUUUGCUAGUUUGCUUAUGAAGGGUUUUAACUGACAUUGCUAGUUUGCUUAAACACCAUCAUCAAUUAGUGUCUAUCUAUAGAACAUUUAAAUAUAUUCUCAUGCUUAUUGUUUUUAUUGUUUGUUUUGCAGAAAUGCCUAGACCAAGGAGUGAAUUGAUAAACAAUGAGGGUGGGAGGCUUGGAGUUCACCAAUAUAAUGUAGAACUUAUUCUCUUGACAUGGUUCAGGCAAAGGCACAUGGUGCUAAUGUAGUGGAAGUUGCCUAUCCUUAUUGUUUAUCAUGGCCAAAUUGUGAAGGUGGUUUACAUGACGACGAUGUGCACGUACGCACGGUUGCAAGCGUUAAAGCUUGCUUUGGAAUUGGGGCUAUUUUUUUAUAGAAUUGGAUCUCAAGGUAUACCAACAGUAAUUCAAGUGUGAAAUUAGAUGAUCUGUAUAGUUGAUUUUCUAUAUUGCUUUAGUGUGUUAACUCAAAGCAACUUUGAUGUAAACUUGUGAGUAUCGUUUUCUACAUGAAUUGUGAGAAUCAAUUACUUGAUAUGA
Molecule: long non-coding RNA, 2977 nt
Organism: Trifolium pratense (red clover)
Lineage: Eukaryota; Viridiplantae; Streptophyta; Magnoliopsida; Fabales; Fabaceae
Exons: 8
Source: RefSeq, a predicted model, not a curated record